Molecule: ribosomal RNA, 253 nt
Filed under: uncultured bacterium
Lineage: Bacteria
Description: partial 16S ribosomal RNA
Rfam family: Bacterial small subunit ribosomal RNA
Source: RNAcentral
GACGAACCGUGCGAACGUUGUUCGGAAUCACUGGGCUUAAAGGGCGCGUAGGCUGCCUGCUUAGUCGGGGGUGAAAUCUUUCGGCUUAACCGGAAAAUUGCCUUCGAUACUGGCAGGCUCGAGCGAGGUAGGGGCGGAUGGAACUUCCGGUGGAGCGGUGAAAUGUGUUGAUAUCGGAAGGAACGCCGGUGGCGAAAGCGAUCCGCUGGACCUCUUCUGACGCUGAGGCGCGAAAGCCAGGGGAGCAAACGGG